RNAcentral lists this ribosomal RNA (253 nucleotides) under uncultured bacterium. RNAcentral's name for it is "partial 16S ribosomal RNA". It matches the Rfam family "Bacterial small subunit ribosomal RNA", at positions 524 to 776 of the family's 1533-position model. The record is from RNAcentral.
UACGGAGGUGGCAAGCGUUGUUCGGAUUUAUUGGGCGUAAAGCGCACGUAGGUAGUCAUAUAAGUCAUCUGUAAAAUCCUUCCGCUCAACGGAAGAAGGUCAGGUGAAACUGUAUGACUUGAGUACGGUAGAGGAAAGCGGAAUUCCCGGUGUAAGGGUGAAAUCUGUAGAUAUCGGGAGGAACACCAGUGGCGAAGGCGGCUUUCUGGGCCGUAACUGACGCUGAGGUGCGAAAGCUAGGGGAGCAAACAGG